GGGAAUAUAGCUCAGUGGUCGAGCGCGUGCUUGGUGUGCACAAGGUCCUGGGUUCAUCUCCCAGUGUCUCUG
RNAcentral lists this transfer RNA (72 nucleotides) under Camelus bactrianus (Bactrian camel). It matches the Rfam family "tRNA". Rfam says of the family: Transfer RNA (tRNA) molecules are approximately 80 nucleotides in length. Their secondary structure includes four short double-helical elements and three loops (D, anti-codon, and T loops). Further hydrogen bonds mediate the characteristic L-shaped molecular structure. tRNAs have two regions of fundamental functional importance: the anti-codon, which is responsible for specific mRNA codon recognition, and the 3' end, to which the tRNAs corresponding amino acid is attached (by aminoacyl-tRNA synthetases). tRNAs cope with the degeneracy of the genetic code in two manners: having more than one tRNA (with a specific anti-codon) for a particular amino acid; and 'wobble' base-pairing, i.e. permitting non-standard base-pairing at the 3rd anti-codon position. RNAcentral also lists the same sequence under 2 other names. The record is from Rfam by way of RNAcentral. Lineage: Eukaryota; Metazoa; Chordata; Mammalia; Artiodactyla; Camelidae.